AGCAGCCGCGGUAAUUCCAGCUCCAAUAGCGUAUAUUAAAGUUGUUGCAGUUAAAAAGCUCGUAGUCGAAUUUCGGGGUUAGUAGGUUGGUCAUGCCUCUGGUAUGUACUGGUCUCACUGAUUCCUCCUUCCUGAUGAGCCGUAAUGCCAUUAAUUUGGUGUUGCGGGGAAUUUGGACUGUUACUUUGAAAAAAUUGAGUGUUUAAAGCAGGCUCACGCUUGAAUACAUUAGCAUGGAAUAAUGAAAUAGGACGUUUGAUUCUAUUUUGUUGGUUUCUAGGAUCGACGUAAUGAUUAAUAGGGAUAGUUGGGGGCAUUAGUAUUCAAUUGUCAGAGGUGAAAUUCUUGGAUUUAUUGAAGACUAACUACUGCGAAAGCAUUUGCCAAGGAUGUUUUCAUUAAUCAAGAACGAAGUUAGGGAUCGAAGACGAUCAGAUACCGUCGUAGUCUUAACCAUAAACUAUGCCGACUAGGGAUCGGAUGAUGUUUAAUUUUUAAUGUACUNUAUUCGGCGUAACCG
Molecule: ribosomal RNA, 520 nt
Filed under: uncultured Glomus
Lineage: Eukaryota; Fungi; Glomeromycota; Glomeromycetes; Glomerales; Glomeraceae
Description: SSU rRNA
Rfam family: Eukaryotic small subunit ribosomal RNA
Source: RNAcentral